GAUGAAGAACGUAGCGAAAUGCGAUACGUAAUGUGAAUUGCAGAAUUCAGUGAAUCAUCGAAUCUUUGAACGCAUAUUGCGCUCUCCGGUAUUCCGGAGAGCAUGCUUGUUUGAGUAUCAGUAAACACCUCAACUUCCAUAUCUUUUUUGAAAUGGGAGUUGGACUUGAGUGAUCCCAACGCUUUUCCUCACCGAAAAGUGGCGGGUUACUUGAAAUGCAGGUGCAGCUGGACUUUUCUCUGAGCUAUAAGCAUAUCUAUUUAGUCUGCCUAAAAAACAGAUUAUUACCUUUGCUGCAGCUAACAUAAAGGAGAUUAGUUCUUGUGCUGACUGAUGCAGGAUUCACAAAGACAGGCUUCGGCCGACUUUGUAAACUCGAUCUCAAAUCAAGUAAGACUACCCGCUGAACUUAAGCAUAUCAAUAAGCGGAGGA
Molecule: unclassified non-coding RNA, 433 nt
Filed under: soil metagenome
Description: partial contains 5.8S ribosomal RNA, internal transcribed spacer 2, and large subunit ribosomal RNA
Rfam family: 5.8S ribosomal RNA (bases 1-120)
Source: RNAcentral